Molecule: ribosomal RNA, 431 nt
Filed under: Mantidactylus melanopleura
Lineage: Eukaryota; Metazoa; Chordata; Amphibia; Anura; Mantellidae
Description: partial 16S ribosomal RNA
Rfam family: Bacterial large subunit ribosomal RNA
Source: RNAcentral
CCACGAGGGUUAGACUGUCUCCUUUUUCAAAUCAGUGAAAUUAAUCUCCCCGUGAAGAAGCGGGGAUACUCAUAUAAGACGAGAAGACCCCAUGGAGCUUCAAACCCAACUACACCCCUAGCUCUUAUAGCCCCACAACCCCCCUAGGCGCCGUGUGCUUGGUUUUAGGUUGGGGCGACCGCGGAGUACAAUAAAACCUCCACAAUGAAUGGGAACACCCCCUUAUCUGAGGGCCACACCCCCUAAGAAUUAGAACACUAACAUAAAAUGAUCCAUUACUUGAUCAAUGAACCAAGUUACCCUGGGGAUAACAGCGCAAUCCAUUUCAAGAGCCCCUAUCGACAAAUGGGUUUACGACCUCGAUGUUGGAUCAGGGUACCCCAGUGGUGCAGCAGCUACUAACGGUUCGUUUGUUCAACGAUUAAAACCCU